This 284-nucleotide long non-coding RNA is filed under the name Homo sapiens (human). Its description in RNAcentral is "HSALNT0395111". Lineage: Eukaryota; Metazoa; Chordata; Mammalia; Primates; Hominidae. The record is from RNAcentral.
UUUUUUUUUCGAGAUGGAGUCUCGCUUUGUCAUCCAGGCUGGAGUGCAAUGGUGCGAUCUCGGCUCAGUGCAACCUCCGCCUCCUGGGUUCAAGAGAUUCUCCUCCCUCAGCCUCCUGAGUAGCUGGGAUUACAGGCAUGCACCACCACGCCUGGUUAAUUUUUGUAUUUUCAGUAGAGACAGGGUUUCACCAUGUUAGUCAGGCUGGUCUCGAACUCCUGACCUCGUGAUCUGCCCACCUCGGCCUCCCAAAGUGCUGGGAUUACAGGCAUGAGCCACCGUGC